RNAcentral lists this ribosomal RNA (1238 nucleotides) under metagenome. RNAcentral's name for it is "bacterial LSU rRNA". It matches the Rfam family "Bacterial large subunit ribosomal RNA", at positions 1564 to 2810 of the family's 2925-position model. The record is from RNAcentral.
UGAAUACGAGAUGCUACGGCGUCGAAGCAGUCUAUGUCAUACUUCCAAGAAAAGCUUGCACUGUCAUAAACAAAUAAUGCCUGUACCAUAACCGACACAGGUGGGUAGGUAGAGUAUACUAAGGGGCGCGAGAUAACUCUCUCUAAGGAACUCGGCAAAAUGACUCCGUAACUUCGGGAGAAGGAGUGCCUUAUUUUAUAAGGUUGCAAUAACAAGAUCCAAGCAACUGUUUACCAAAAACACAGGUCUCCGCUAAGUCGUAAGACGAUGUAUGGGGGCUGACGCCUGCCCAGUGCCAGAAGGUUAAAGAAGUUGGUUAGCAUCCGCGAAGCUGAUAACUGAAGCCCUGGUGAACGGCGGCCGUAACGAUAACGGUCCUAAGGUAGCGAAAUUCCUUGUCGGGUAAGUUCCGACCCGCACGAAAGGCGUAAUGAUUUGGAUACUGUCUCAGAGAGGGGCUCGGUGAAAUAGACUUGUCUGUGAAGAUGCGGACUACCUGCACCAGGACAGAAAGACCCUAUGAAGCUUUACUGUAACUUGAAAUUGAAAUUGGACUUUACUUGCGCAGUAUAGGUGGGAGGCGUUGAGAAUAUUCUUGCGGGAAUGUUGGAGCCAUCAGUGAGAUACCACUCUUGUAAUGUUAGAUUUCUAACUUUGUAUCAUUAUCUGGUCAAAGGACAGUUUCAGGCGGGCAGUUUGACUGGGGCGGUCGCCUCCCAAACGGUAACGGAGGCGCACAAAGGUUUCCUCUGAACGGGUAGAAAUCGUAUCUAGAGUGUAAAGGCAUAAGGAAGCUUGACUGUGAGACCUACAAGUCGAGCAGGGACGAAAGUCGGUCUUAGUGAUCUGACGGUGCUGAGUGGAAAGGCCGUCACUCAACGGAUAAAAGUUACUCUAAGGAUAACAGGCUGAUCUCCCCCAAGAGUUCACAUCGACGGGGAGGUUUGGCACCUCGAUGUCGGCUCAUCGCGUCCUGGGGCGGUAGUACGUCCCAAGGGUUGGGCUGUUCGCCCAUGAAAGCGGUACGCGAGCUGGGUUCAGAACGUCGUGAGACAGUUCGGUCCAUAUCCGGUGUAGGCGUUAGAAUAUUGAGAGGAGCCUUCUUUAGUACGAGAGGACCGAGAAGGACAUACCUCUGGUGUACCAGUUAUCGUGCCAACGGUAAACGCUGGGUAGCUAUGUAUGGAGUGGAUAACCGCUGAAAGCAUCUAAGUGGGAAGCCCACCUCAAGAUAAGUA